AUCAAGCUUUGAGCUGUGAAAUACCCUGCCUCAUGCAUAUGCAAAUAACCUGAGGUCUUCUGAGAUAAAUAUAGAUAUAUUGGUGCCCUGAGAGCAUCACAUAACAACCACAUUCCUCCUCUGAAGAAGCCUCUGGGAGCACAGCUCAUCACCAUGGACUGGACCUGGAGGUUCCUCUUUGUGGUGGCAGCAGCUACAGGUGUCCAGUCCCAGGUCCAGCUGGUGCAGUCCGGGGCUGAGGUGAAGAAGCCUGGGUCCUCAGUGAAGGUCUCCUGCAAGGUUUCUGGAGGCACCUUCAGCAGCUAUGCUAUCAGCUGGGUGCGACAGGCCCCUGGACAAGGGCUUGAGUGGAUGGGAGUGAUCAUCCCUAUCCUUGGUACAGCAAACUACGCACAGAAGUUCCAGGGCAGAGUCACGAUUACCGCGGACGAAUCCACGAGCACAGCCUACAUGGAGCUGAGCAGCCUGAGAUCUGAGGACACGGCCGUGUAUUACUGUGCGACAGACACAGUGUGAAAACCCACAUCCUGAGAGUGUCAGAAACCCUGAGGGAGAAGGCAGCUGUGCCGGGCUGAGGAGAUGACAGGGGUUAUUAGGUUUAAGGCUGUUUACAAAAUGGGUUAUAUAUUUGAGAAAAAAAGAACAGUAGAAACAAGUACAUACUCUAAUUUUAAGAUAAAUAUUCCAUUCAAGAGUCGUAAUAUAAGCCAAAUUCACAGAGUGGAAAAGGCCACACUCAAUAAAGUUGAUACAAACAUUCCAUGAAGGUGCUACUGUGAACAAGUUUUCAAACUGGAUGAAUACAUGAUAUGGAGCAAAGUUAUUUGAUCAUGUGGUGAGACUAAGAAUGAUUCUUAAAAAGUGGCAAAAGUUUCCUUCAAAUGUUUCUGUCACUCCUUAUCAUAAAGUUUAUUUUACAGCAGUUUUAGGAUUACAAAGAAAUUGCACAGGCGGCAUGAGAAUUCCCAUGACUCCCUGCCCUACACAGGCACAGCCUCCUCCACUACGACCAUCCUGCACCGCAGUCACAAAUCAGUUACAAUGGAGGAAUCUCCAAGGAUGCUUGGCUCUUUCUUUUUCUGGUGAUCUCCUAAUAUAACAAGCCUAAAGUAUCUCAAGAUUCCACGGUUUUUUCAGUGUUUUCUAGAACUGAUAUUAGUCAGAGGGAAAGUGGGUAAGGCUAUUACUAUUUGAACUCUUUCUUCCAAAAUCCACAAAAUAUAUAUUAAUUUAGAGCUUAUCUUACUUCUGGUUUACAAUGCUCCUUCCCAGACAGUAAGAUUUUUUUAAGCUUUUAGAGGCCAGUUCAUGUCUCUAAAAGACCAGAAAGUUCUGGGGAAUCCCAUAAUGAACAUCCUUUCAUGAGAAUUGGAGACCCUGGCAAUGAGAGACUCCAUGUAUAAUGCCCUAGAGUUGGAUUAGAUGCUCUGUAAGCUCUUGGGUGGUGAGUCUGAGUAAGGGGGUUUUUGCAGCAAAUGCAAACACAUUCAUGGGACCCAGGUAGGAACAAAAGCUUCCCUCUACAAAGGGAGUGUGCACCUGAAGCAGCCCUCACAGAGGUGGGCACUGCUCACCCUUGAUGAGUGCACAUUAGCCAGAGGCAUGAUCAUGAUUGGUCUUGCAGACAAAGAGCACCACUGAGGUCAUAGGUUAUGAAAAUGUUUGUCAUCCUCCAGCUGAGCAAGUCCAUCUGCUUGUUUGUGGGUGUCAACUCCAUGGAGGGUGCACUUUGGGAGAUGACAAGAUGCACCCAAACCUCCUCUCACUAAUUAUCCACUACCACACACUCAAGACCAACCUGUGCUCCGGAAAGGAAUACGUGCCUGUGGAAAUAGACAGAGCUUAAGGGUUUUAUUACCUGGUAAAUAUACUGCCCAAAACCACACGUUUCAGGAAGAUUAGCUCAGAAAUGUUCACCAAUUGACUGAAGGGCAGUGGCGGGUGAGGUGAUGGGACAGCCUCAGGGCUGCACAUGAGGAGGGCUCCCUCCCCCAUGCAGGCUUUUCUCUGGGAGCUUAACCAGGAACUCAAGGGGGAUCAGGGAGAAUUCUGAGAACACCCUACUGUGGAGCUGCCUAGAGAGGAAGAAUAAAUGAUGAAAAAUAAAA
Non-coding RNA from Pan troglodytes (chimpanzee), 2108 nucleotides. The record is from the annotation of a RefSeq genome assembly. NCBI's taxonomy places the organism in Eukaryota, Metazoa, Chordata, Mammalia, Primates, Hominidae.